GGCUCAAUUCGAAGCAACGCGAAGAACCUUAUCCUGGGCUUACAUGUAUGGAUUAGGUCGUGGAAACACGGCUGAGGCUCUUUGAGUACAACAUACACAGGUGCUGCAUGGCUGUCGUCAGCUCGUGCUGUGAAGUGUCGGGUUAAGUCCCUUAACGAGCGAAACCCCUAUCUCUAGUUGCCAACGCGUCAUGGCGGGGACUCUAGCGAGACUGCCGGUGUCAAACCGGA
RNAcentral lists this ribosomal RNA (230 nucleotides) under uncultured bacterium. RNAcentral's name for it is "partial 16S ribosomal RNA". It matches the Rfam family "Bacterial small subunit ribosomal RNA", at positions 943 to 1167 of the family's 1533-position model. The record is from RNAcentral.